RNAcentral lists this unclassified non-coding RNA (345 nucleotides) under soil metagenome. Its description in RNAcentral is "partial contains 5.8S ribosomal RNA, internal transcribed spacer 2, and large subunit ribosomal RNA". The stretch from base 1 to 120 matches the Rfam family "5.8S ribosomal RNA", at positions 35 to 154 of the family's 154-position model. The record is from RNAcentral.
GAUGAAGAACGUAGCGAAAUGCGAUACGUAAUGUGAAUUGCAGAAUUCAGUGAAUCAUCGAGUCUUUGAACGCACAUUGCGCCCCCUGGUAUUCCGGGGGGCAUGCCUGUCCGAGCGUCAUUGCUGCCCUCAAGCACGGCUUGUGUGUUGGGCCUCCGUCCUCCUCCCGGGGGACGGGCCCGAAAGGCAGGGGCGGCACCGCGUCCGGUCCUCGAGCGUAUGGGGCUUCGUCACCCGCUCUUGUAGGCCCGGCCGGCGCUUGCCGACACAUCAAUCUUUUUUCCAGGUUGACCUCGGAUCAGGUAGGGAUACCCGCUGAACUUAAGCAUAUCAAUAAGCGGAGGA